CAGCAGCCACGGUAAUACGAAGGGUGCAAGCGUUACUCGGAAUUACUGGGCGUAAAGCGUGCGUAGGUGGUGGUUUAAGUCCGUUGUGAAAGCCCUGGGCUCAACCUGGGAAUUGCAGUGGAUACUGGGUCACUAGAGUGUGGUAGAGGAUAGUGGAAUUUCCGGUGUAGCAGUGAAAUGCGUAGAGAUCGGAAGGAACAUCUGUGGCGAAGGCGACUAUCUGGGCCAACACUGACACUGAGGCACGAAAGCAUGGGGAGCAAACAGGAUUAGAUACCCCAGUAGUCCCUGUCUCUUAUAC
Molecule: ribosomal RNA, 301 nt
Filed under: uncultured bacterium
Lineage: Bacteria
Description: partial 16S ribosomal RNA
Rfam family: Bacterial small subunit ribosomal RNA
Source: RNAcentral